Molecule: non-coding RNA, 591 nt
Organism: Camelina sativa (false flax)
Lineage: Eukaryota; Viridiplantae; Streptophyta; Magnoliopsida; Brassicales; Brassicaceae
Source: RefSeq, a predicted model, not a curated record
CUGAAGAGUGUCUAAAAAAGGAGAAGGAGAGAGUCAGUCACUACCUUCAUUUGGCACAAUUGAAAAAGACAGCAGAAGGUACUUACGACAACGGUAUUUACCCGCACAAGUAAAUACCGAGCCCACCUUCCAACAGUCGAAUCCCAUCCCACAAUACUAUUAGAGAUGCACGCAUGUUCCUUGAUACAAACUCCACGCAUUACAGUACAACCCAACAAUCUAACACCUGAAUCAAUCACGCAUCCCUGACCAAUCACCACAUCAGGGAGUUCAGGUACAUUCUGCGGCUAUCUUAGGGAAUAUCUCUUUCUCUAUCGAAGUCCGUCUCAGCUCUAUCCUGUUGAGAACAGAUGGGUUCAGGAGGUAUAUCCCAGCGUGUAUCUUGUUUCCCACAAAAUGUUUUGGUUUCUCAACGAAACUUUCAACUCUCGCUGUAGCUUCUUCCAUAACCACCACACCAUACUUAGUAGGAUCAUCAACCUGUUUGUUCUACUUAGUAAUGUUCUUAGCGAAAGCGACUUCUAUAUACUUAUGUUUAAGGUCUUCCAAUAUUUUUUUAUUAAUAGUAACAUAAAUAUUGACAUUUCAUUA